GGCACGCGCCAGCCAGCUAGUGGCAUGAAGCGGCAAKCACCGAGCCGACUGUCGUACAUUGAGAGAGCUUUCGUUAGGGACRCGACCGCAACGGGRCACGAGCCUUUAUCAUUUGCAACAUCCGAAACCAAUAGUGYGAGCGAGGUGGCCUUGGAAGCNCCGGGGACGUAGGGGGCCGGCACCACNAGGCAACGCCGCAC
RNAcentral lists this unclassified non-coding RNA (200 nucleotides) under Nassella pulchra. RNAcentral describes it as "partial external transcribed spacer". The record is from RNAcentral. Lineage: Eukaryota; Viridiplantae; Streptophyta; Magnoliopsida; Poales; Poaceae.